RNAcentral lists this ribosomal RNA (232 nucleotides) under uncultured bacterium. Its description in RNAcentral is "partial 16S ribosomal RNA". It matches the Rfam family "Bacterial small subunit ribosomal RNA", at positions 100 to 334 of the family's 1533-position model. The record is from RNAcentral.
CGGGACGGGUGAGUAAUGCUUGGGAAUCUAGCUUAUGGAGGGGGAUAACUACGGGAAACUGUAGCUAAUACCGCGUAAUAUCGAAAGAUUAAAGUGUAGGACCUUCGGGCCACAUGCCAUAGGAUGAGCCCAAGUGGGAUUAGGUAGUUGGUGAGGUAAAGGCUCACCAGCCGACGAUCUCUAGCUGGUCUGAGAGGAUGACCAGCCACACUGGGACUGAGACACGGCCCAG